This 241-nucleotide microRNA precursor is filed under the name Amborella trichopoda. Its description in RNAcentral is "MIR8562 microRNA precursor family". It matches the Rfam family "MIR8562 microRNA precursor family". Lineage: Eukaryota; Viridiplantae; Streptophyta; Magnoliopsida; Amborellales; Amborellaceae. The record is from Rfam by way of RNAcentral.
UUUUCUACAAAUCGGAAUGAUCUGAAAUUUGGAACAUGUGUUCAUAAAAAAUAGGCGAAUCUACAAAAAAUAUCAAAACAUUAUUUUACAUGAAAACAAUUGACCAAACGCCCCUGAAAAGUUUCGGGGGUAUUUUGGUCAAUUUUAUUUUCAUGAAUUAUUUUUUUUAUAUUUUUAUUAGGUGCGCCUCACUAAGAUGCACACACGAUCCAAAUUUCAGUUCAUUCCGAUUUGUAAAAAA